Molecule: ribosomal RNA, 355 nt
Filed under: uncultured bacterium
Lineage: Bacteria
Description: partial 16S ribosomal RNA
Rfam family: Bacterial small subunit ribosomal RNA
Source: RNAcentral
CCUACGGGAGGCAGCAGUAGGGAAUAUUGCUCAAUGGGGGAAACCCUGAAGCAGCCACGCCGCGUGGAUGAUGAAGGUUUUCGGAUUGUAAACUCCUUUUGUUAGAGAAGAUAGUGACGGUAUCUAACGAAUAAUCACCGGCUAACUCCGUGCCAGCAGCCGCGGUAAUACGGAGGGUGCAAGCGUUAAUCGGAAUCACUGGGCGUAAAGAGCACGUAGGCGGGUGAGCAAGUCAGAUGUGAAAUCCUAUGGCUUAACCAUAGAAGUGCAUUUGAAACUGGUAUUCUAGAGUAUGGGAGAGGUAGGUAGAAUUCUUGGUGUAGGGGUAAAAUGCGUAGAGAUGAGGAGGAAUACU